GGGGGCUACCAUGCAGUCGACGAUGAAGCCCAGCUUGCUGGGUGGAUUAGUGGCGAACGGGUGAGUAACACGUGAGUAACCUGCCCUUAACUCUGGGAUAAGCCUGGGAAACUGGGUCUAAUACCGGAUAGGAGCGUCCACCGCAUGGUGGGUGUUGGAAAGAUUUAUCGGUUUUGGAUGGACUCGCGGCCUAUCAGCUUGUUGGUGAGGUAAUGGCUCACCAAGGCGACGACGGGUAGCCGGCCUGAGAGGGUGACCGGCCACACUGGGACUGAGACACGGCCCAGACUCCUACGGGAGGCAGCAGUGGGGAAUAUUGCACAAUGGGCGCAAGCCUGAUGCAGCGACCCCGCGUGAGGGAUGACGGCCUUCGGGUUGUAAACCUCUUUCAGUAGGGAAGAAGCGAAAGUGACGGUACCUGCAGAAGAAGCACCGGCUAACUACGUGCCAGCGCCCCCGGGAUAAUACACCA
RNAcentral lists this ribosomal RNA (472 nucleotides) under uncultured bacterium. RNAcentral's name for it is "bacterial SSU rRNA". It matches the Rfam family "Bacterial small subunit ribosomal RNA", at positions 42 to 529 of the family's 1533-position model. The record is from RNAcentral.